GACGAACGCUGGCGGCGUGCCUAAUACAUGCAGGUAGAACGCUGAAGGAGGAGCUUGCUUCUCUGGAUGAGUUGCGAACGGGUGAGUAACGCGUAGGUAACCUGCCUGGUAGCGGGGGAUAACUAUUGGAAACGAUAGCUAAUACCGCAUAAGAGUAGAUGUUGCAUGACAUUUGCUUAAAAGGUGCAAUUGCAUCACUACCAGAUGGACCUGCGUUGUAUUAGCUAGUUGGUGGGGUAACGGCUCACCAAGGCGACGAUACAUAGCCGACCUGAGAGGGGGAUCGGCCACACUGGGACUGAGACACGGCCCAGACUCCUACGGGAGGCAGCAGUAGGGAAUCUUCGGCAAUGGACGGAAGUCUGACCGAGCAACGCCGCGUGAGUGAAGAAGGUUUUCGGAUCGUAAAGCUCUGUUGUAAGAGAAGAACGAGUGUGAGAGUGGAAAGUUCACACUGUGACGGUAUCUUACCAGAAAGGGACGGCUAACUACGUG
RNAcentral lists this ribosomal RNA (495 nucleotides) under uncultured bacterium. RNAcentral's name for it is "partial 16S ribosomal RNA". It matches the Rfam family "Bacterial small subunit ribosomal RNA", at positions 28 to 507 of the family's 1533-position model. The record is from RNAcentral.